UCCCUGGUGGCUCAGAUGGUAAAGAAUCUGCCUGCAGUGCAGGAGACCUGGGUUUGAUCCCUGGUUUGGGAA
This 72-nucleotide transfer RNA is filed under the name Bos taurus (domestic cattle). It matches the Rfam family "tRNA". From Rfam's summary of the family: Transfer RNA (tRNA) molecules are approximately 80 nucleotides in length. Their secondary structure includes four short double-helical elements and three loops (D, anti-codon, and T loops). Lineage: Eukaryota; Metazoa; Chordata; Mammalia; Artiodactyla; Bovidae. The record is from Rfam by way of RNAcentral. RNAcentral also lists the same sequence under 6 other names.